Molecule: ribosomal RNA, 505 nt
Filed under: uncultured bacterium
Lineage: Bacteria
Description: partial 16S ribosomal RNA
Rfam family: Bacterial small subunit ribosomal RNA
Source: RNAcentral
GAUGAACGCUAGUUACAGGCUUAACACAUGCAAGUCGAGGGGUAACGAGAGGAAAGCUUGCUUUCCUUGUCGACGACCGGCGCACGGGUGAGUAACGCGUAUCCAACCUGCCCCCAACUAGGGAAUAACCUUGCGAAAGUAAGACUAAUACCCUAUAAUUUCCUCAGAUGACAUCUGACGAGGAAUAAAGAUUUAUCGGUUGUGGAUGGGGAUGCGUCUGAUUAGCUUGUUGGCGGGGUAACGGCCCACCAAGGCAACGAUCAGUAGGGGUUCUGAGAGGAAGGUCCCCCACAUUGGAACUGAGACACGGUCCAAACUCCUACGGGAGGCAGCAGUGAGGAAUAUUGGUCAAUGGGCGGAAGCCUGAACCAGCCAAGUAGCGUGCAGGAUGACGGCCCUAUGGGUUGUAAACUGCUUUUAUACAGGAAUAAGUUAGCCACGUGUGGUUAUUUGUAGGUACUGUAUGAAUAAGGACCGGCUAAUUCCGUGCCAGCCGCCGCCGUAA